GGAUGCGACGUGUGUCAUCCAACCCUGUCCAAGCACCAGCUCGGGGGGAGGGAGGAAAUGGACAUAUAGAUAGGCCAAAUAAAUAAACACAGUGGGAAGGAGAAAAGGAAAUUCCCUUCUGUCUCUUUGCUCUUCUGGAGCAUCCUGCGCUGCGCAGUGUUGGCGACACCACCGGGGAGCAGUGCGCAUUUUCUGUCGAUCUGAGGAGAGGACCACAACAUCUGAAGUGGCACUACUGAGCCGAAACGGACAGAUCAGAGAGGAAGGAAACACCGGAAUCUGACAACCGAGAGGGGACAUUGCGGGGUUUUAAUGCACAGAAAGGCAGGUAGCCAAUUUUUUGGACAAUCAGAGUUUGCAACAUCGGCCUAUUUUUUAAAAAUAAAUUGCUGCGGGGUGAGAACAUAGCUUUCAUUGCCAGUUGUGUGUUACAUUACAUAACCGAGUGGCAUUAGCUGUCCAAGGUGCUGAACUGAACGGUCGGAGCCUUUAACGGGACGAGCCGAGGGGAAUUCACAACCUUGCAAGGUCAUAGGCCUACCAGCCGGAGAAGAGGAUCCGCUUACUGUACCACCGGGAAGCCGCCGGGUGAUAUUCAUACAAUUUUUUCAUCGUCCCGUGGUGAAAUACAUUCCUGAGGUGGUCGAUUCAACGGAGAGAAAAUGUCGGGGCAAACGCUCACGGAUCGCAUUGCCGCUGCGCAAUACCAGCUAACGGGAUCAGAUAUGGCCCGGGCUGUCUGCAAAGCCACCACUCACGAAGUGAUGGCGCCCAAGAAAAAGCACCUGGAGUACCUGGUGUCAGCCACCAAUACCACCAACGUGAACAUCCCGCAAAUGGCUGACACACUGUUUGAGCGAGCCACCAAUGCCAGCUGGGUGGUCGUCUUCAAGGCCCUCGUCACCAGUCAUCACAUGUGUGUCCACGGCAAUGAGAGGUUCAUUCAGUACUUGGCCUCCAGGACAUCCUUGUUCAACCUCAGUAAUUUUAUCGACAAAACCGGCUCUCACGGCUAUGACAUGUCUACAUUCAUCAGACGGUAUGGACGAUACCUGAACGAGAAAGCCUUCGCCUACCGCCAGAUGGCUUUUGAUUUCACCAGAGUCAAGAAGGGUGCUGAUGGUGUGAUGAGGACCAUGACCACUGAGAAGCUGUUGAAAGGCAUGCCUGUUCUGCAGACUCAGAUUGACACACUCCUGGAGUUCGAUGUUCAUCCCAAGGAGCUGAACAACGGGAUCAUCAAUGCUGCAUUUCUGCUUCUCUUCAAGGACCUGGUCAAACUGUUUGCAUCCUACAAUGACGGAAUCAUCAACUUAUUAGAGAAAUACUUCAAGAUGAAGAAGAGUGACUGUAAGGAGGCCUUGGAGAUCUACAAGAGGUUCCUGACCAGGGUGACAAAGAUUGGAGAAUUCAUGAAGCUGGCCGAGACAGUUGGAGUUGACAAAAAUGACAUCCCUGACAUCAACUACGCUCCCAGCAGUAUCCUGGAGAGUCUGGAAACACACAUGAACGGUCUGGAGGACACAAAGGGUGGAAAGAAGGGUGAAGGGUCUCCAACAAAGGGGUCUCCGACAAACAAUGUGUCCCCAACAUCAACCCCAGCCAAAUCUUCAAACGCUGUUCCCACACUGCAGCCUCCUCCUGGGGAGAGUGCUGCCGCUGCCGCUGCUCCUGAGCCAGCUGAAGAUUCCUUGUUGGACCUGGAUCCACUGUCUUCCUCGGGUCCCUCGGGACAAUCAGCUGCCCCCACGUCUUGGGGAGAUCUUCUUGGAUCAGAAAUGGGCGAUUCCUUGCUAUCUGAACCCACCCUCACGGCAGAGCCCGCCCCCUCCUCUGCAGCAGCAACGCCCACUCCUGCAGCGGCAGAACCCGGAGUCUCUCUAGCUCCUCCCACUAGUACAGCAGCCGCCACCUCUCCUGGCGCCGCCAAUAUGGAUCUGUUGGGAGAUGCCUUUGCAACACCUGCUCCUGCCACUGAGGCCUCUGCCACCGCAGCUGAAGGUGGGGCUACCGCCACGUCCACCCCAGCCGCCAACACUGGAGCUGAGUCCACAGGAGGAGAUGCCACAGCUGCUGCUGCUCCUGCUGCCCCCGGUGCUGAGCUUAUGUCAGUAUUUGAUGGACUAGGAGAUGUAAUGAAGCCCACUGUCACCCCUCAGACGGGUGAUGUUGACACCUCCAUGGCUAAAAUGGCAAGUAAUCUCACAAUGGGAACCGCAGCGGCCCCUCAGGUAGCUCCCCCCAGUUGGGGUGCUCCCAUGCCUGGACUCCCAUGAUGCCCAUGGCCAGACCAGGCUUCCCAGCCAGUGGAGCAACCCCCGGAGCACCGAUGUCUCCUGGAGUGGCCCAGAGCCCAAGAAAGCCUCCACCACCAAGGAAUGCUCUGGAUGACCUCAACAUCAAGGACUUCAUGUAGACUGGCUGACCUGUAAACCCCCAAGGUUUUGUCAUUGUGUCUGGAGCUCUGUGGAUGUGGAUGUCUGCACUUCCCCACUGCCUUCCCUUCAGUCAUGCCCCAUCCCUUGCAUCCAACCAGCCAUUACAUCUUUGAUCUUUGCCCUCUGACCUCCUACCAGCUGCGACCCCUAAUAAAACCUGCCCUCCUUAUCUAAUGUUGUAGCACAACUGUGAAUGUGAACCCUAGAUACAGAAAAACAAAAUUCAGUGUAUGUGUGUUUGGGUGUGCGUGUAAUUCAGUGUUAACCUUUACUUAAUAUACUAUGGAAAAAUGAACAAAAAAAAUUACUAAAUGUGUAUUUAGAUUCAUUCUGGAUCAGCUGACUUGAAAUGGUGGAUAUAUGUUGGUUUCUUUGCGCAUCUCCCAGACGAGGACUGUGUUGUUAAAUGUGGACUGUGUUCGGUGUAUGUAACUUCACUGCACCCCCACUCCUACUCCUCUACCCCAGUUGUCCAAACAAAUACUGAGCUAUGUUUAUGUCAUUAAAAACUUGGUUGUACCUAUAUCUGCUUGGCCAUCCAUCCUCCCACCUGUCUACUUUUUGUCUAAGUUUUUGGAGAACAAUUCUUGAUCAAAAUUGUACCUGAAAACAACUUUUACUGCAAAUCUGGAUCUAUCAUCGAACACAUCAUGCUGUGUUCAGUUUUCCUUUUUCCUUUCUUUUUUUUAGGGAUUGUAUGAAACAUGCAAAAAUUUGUGAACUGUUCAAAUUGACAUAUGCAUACUAGACUAUUUUAAAUGAUAGAUUAUACAUAUUUUCUUUAAUCUUUAUUUUGAGAGAAAAAAAAUGAUCAUAUAUUUUUAUUUACUUCUAAUGAUAUUGUUGGAAAAGAAAGGCAAGUAGACUAAAAAAAUUAUUUCUUUGUACAUAUCUCUCAAUCUUUAAUCAGAGGCAGUAUUGAUUGAAAACUGUGCCCUGAGUUUUUACUGUUGCGCCCUCUGCUGAUGUGGAGUGAUACUGCAUCGUAGCGUGCAACACAGGUCGAUCUGGGAUGCAUUCUAAAACUCUCAGAGAGCUCCUCUCCUUGUCUCAGUCUCCACACAAGAUGACUUAAUGUUAGGGUGAAAAGAGACAAGGAAGCAUUUGUGUAUGUGAUUGGAAUGUGGCCUUGGGUCAUUUGUGACAGAAAUACAUUUGGUCAUGUGCUGUCACUGGAAGUCUUGAGGACUCUCACUGUAAAGCACUCGAGUAUACGCUGGAUGUUCUGUGUUUUGUUUAUUUCCAAAUGUGACUGUAUCUUAAUCCAUUGUGGCAUUUACAAAAGUGUUGAGAGAAAAAUAAAGGUGACUACGACACAUAAAAACAAAAAGAAUGUGGAUAAAUAAUGUUUGCUAAGUAUUCAUAUGAAGGCUAUGUUGUUGUUUUUUGGAGGUUAUUAUGGAUGGCAUCGUCCUCCCUCCCUCGCCCCCCACCUGCAUGUGAGUCCAAAUGAGAUGCAAUAAAAGACAAAUACACUGAUCCAAA
RNA transcript from Micropterus salmoides (largemouth bass), 3923 nucleotides. It is a transcript of the gene named synaptosome associated protein 91b, with no coding region annotated. Lineage: Eukaryota; Metazoa; Chordata; Actinopteri; Centrarchiformes; Centrarchidae. The record is from RefSeq and is a predicted model, not a curated record. The transcript has 23 exons.